AAAAGAGCCCUGUUUAUUGGUAGGACUCAUGGCUUUGAUCACCACAAGGACAAUGAGUUUCUGAUGGAAUGGACUAAAAGGGAAGGAAUUCAUGUGCAACUUGCACAUGAUGGUUUGAGAAUCCCCAUAGCCCUAUGAUAAGGGGAAAAGAAGCUUCAUAAAGAUCUU
Corylus avellana is the source of this 168-nucleotide non-coding RNA. The record is from RefSeq and is a predicted model, not a curated record. NCBI's taxonomy places the organism in Eukaryota, Viridiplantae, Streptophyta, Magnoliopsida, Fagales, Betulaceae.